RNAcentral lists this ribosomal RNA (378 nucleotides) under uncultured Anaplasma sp. RNAcentral's name for it is "bacterial SSU rRNA". It matches the Rfam family "Bacterial small subunit ribosomal RNA", at positions 90 to 503 of the family's 1533-position model. Lineage: Bacteria; Pseudomonadati; Pseudomonadota; Alphaproteobacteria; Rickettsiales; Anaplasmataceae. The record is from RNAcentral.
GGUUAGUGGCAGACGGGUGAGUAAUGCAUAGGAAUCUGCCUAGUAGUAUAGGAUAGCCACUAGAAAUGGUGGGUAAUACUGUAUAAUCCCUGCGGGGGAAAGAUUUAUCGCUACUGGAUGAGCCUAUGUUAGAUUAGCUAGUUGGUGGGGUAAUGGCCCACCAAGGCUGUGAUCUGUAGCUGGUCUGAGAGGAUGAUCAGCCACACUGGAACUGAGACACGGUCCAGACUCCUACGGGAGGCAGCGGUGGGGAAUAUUGUACAAUGGGCGCAAGCAUGAUCCAGCUAUGCCGCGUGAGUGAGGAAGGCCUUAGGGUUGUAAAACUCUUUCAGUGGGGAAGAUAAUGACGGUACCAACAGAAAAAGUCCCGGCAAACUC